This 724-nucleotide ribosomal RNA is filed under the name Bacillus altitudinis. RNAcentral describes it as "bacterial SSU rRNA". It matches the Rfam family "Bacterial small subunit ribosomal RNA", at positions 561 to 1282 of the family's 1533-position model. Lineage: Bacteria; Bacillati; Bacillota; Bacilli; Caryophanales; Bacillaceae. The record is from RNAcentral.
UAAAGGGCUCGCAGGCGGUUUUUUUAAGUCUGAUGUGAAAAGCCCCCCGGCUCAACCGGGGAGGGUCAUUGGAAACUGGGAAACUUGAGUGCAGAAGAGGAGAGUGGAAUUCCACGUGUAGCGGUGAAAUGCGUAGAGAUGUGGAGGAACACCAGUGGCGAAGGCGACUCUCUGGUCUGUAACUGACGCUGAGGAGCGAAAGCGUGGGGAGCGAACAGGAUUAGAUACCCUGGUAGUCCACGCCGUAAACGAUGAGUGCUAAGUGUUAGGGGGUUUCCGCCCCUUAGUGCUGCAGCUAACGCAUUAAGCACUCCGCCUGGGGAGUACGGUCGCAAGACUGAAACUCAAAGGAAUUGACGGGGGCCCGCACAAGCGGUGGAGCAUGUGGUUUAAUUCGAAGCAACGCGAAGAACCUUACCAGGUCUUGACAUCCUCUGACAACCCUAGAGAUAGGGCUUUCCCUUCGGGGACAGAGUGACAGGUGGUGCAUGGUUGUCGUCAGCUCGUGUCGUGAGAUGUUGGGUUAAGUCCCGCAACGAGCGCAACCCUUGAUCUUAGUUGCCAGCAUUCAGUUGGGCACUCUAAGGUGACUGCCGGUGACAAACCGGAGGAAGGUGGGGAUGACGUCAAAUCAUCAUGCCCCUUAUGACCUGGGCUACACACGUGCUACAAUGGACAGAACAAAGGGCUGCGAGACCGCAAGGUUUAGCCAAUCCCACAAAUC